Molecule: ribosomal RNA, 839 nt
Filed under: uncultured marine eukaryote
Lineage: Eukaryota
Description: bacterial SSU rRNA
Rfam family: Eukaryotic small subunit ribosomal RNA
Source: RNAcentral
GUUGUUGAGUUAAAAGCUCGUAGUCGAAUUUCUGGCCGAGAGAAGCCGAAUACACUGUGCUUUCUCUUAGGUCAUCCGCCUUUGAGGCUAUACGGACAUUAAUUUGCUCCUGUAGCGGAUUGGGCAUUUUACUUUGAAGAAAUUAGAGUGUUCAAAGCAUGCUUACGCUUGAAUACGCCAGCAUGGAAUAAUGGAAUAGGACUAGUUUUAUUUCUUGGUUCGUAAAACUAGUAAUGAUUAAUAGGGACAGUUGGGGGCAUUUGAAUUAGUGUGUCAGAGGUGAAAUUCUUCGAUUACACUAGGUCAAACUAAUGCGAAGGCAUCUGCCAAGGAUGUUUUCAUUGAUCAAGAACGAAAGACAGGGGAUCAAAGACGAUUAGAUACCGUCGUAGUCCUGUCCGUAAACUAUGCCAUUCCGGGAUUGGUAGAGCAAUAACUCUAUCAGCACCGUGUGGGAAACCAUUGAAACUUUGGGUUCUGGGGGGAGUAUGGUCGCAAGGCUGAAACUUAAAGGAAUUGACGGAAGGGCACACCAGUAGUGGAGCCUGCGGCUUAAUUUGAUUCAACACGGGAAAACUUACCAGGGCAAGAGAGUUGUAGGAUUGACAGCUUGAGAGUGCUUUCUUGAUCUGCUCGUUCUUGGUGCAUGGCCGUUCUUAGUUGGUGGAGUGAUUUGUCAGGUUAAUUCCCUUAACGAACGAGACCUUAACCUGCUAACUAGUCGUCGUUACCUAUUAGCGAUUGGCUUCUUAGAGGGACUAUUACGAAAAGUAAUGGAAGUUUGAGGCAAUAACAGGUCCGUGAUGCCAGUAGAUGUCCUGGGCCGCACGCGUGCUACA